GAUCCUGGCUCAGGACGAACGCUGGCGGCGUGCUCAACACAUGCAAGUCGAACGAUGAACACCGGAGCUUGCUCUGGUGGGAUUAGUGGCGAACGGGUGAGUAACACGUGAGCAAUCUGCCCCCGACUCUGGGAUAACCCCGAGAAAUCGGAGCUAAUACCGGAUACGACACCUCCUGGCAUCAGGUGGGUGUGGAAAGAAUUUCGGUUGAGGAUGAGCUCGCGGCCUAUCAGCUUGUUGGUGAGGUAAUGGCUCACCAAGGCGACGACGGGUAGCCGGCCUGAGAGGGUGACCGGCCACACUGGGACUGAGACACGGCCCAUACUCCUACGGGAGGCAGCAGUGGGGAAUAUUACACAAUGGGCGCAAGCCUGAUGCAGCAACGCCGCGUGGGGGACGAAGGCCUUCGGGUUGUAAACCUCUUUUGGCAGGGAAGAAGCGAAAGUGACGGUACCUGCAGAAAAAGCACCGGCUAACUACGUGCCAGCAGCCGCGGUAAUACGUAGGGUGCAAGCGUUGUCCGGAAUUAUUGGGCGUAAAGAGCUCGUAGCGGUGUGUCACGUCUGCUGUGGAAAUCCAAGGCUCAACCUUGGACUUGCAGUGGGUACGGGCACACUUGAGUGCGGUAGGGGAGAUUGGAAUUCCUGGUGUAGCGGUGGAAUGCGCAGAUAUCAGGAGGAACACCGAUGGCGAAGGCAGAUCUCUGGGCCGUAACUGACGCU
This 722-nucleotide ribosomal RNA is filed under the name uncultured bacterium. RNAcentral's name for it is "bacterial SSU rRNA". It matches the Rfam family "Bacterial small subunit ribosomal RNA", at positions 15 to 747 of the family's 1533-position model. The record is from RNAcentral.